This 495-nucleotide ribosomal RNA is filed under the name uncultured bacterium. Its description in RNAcentral is "partial 16S ribosomal RNA". It matches the Rfam family "Bacterial small subunit ribosomal RNA", at positions 28 to 507 of the family's 1533-position model. The record is from RNAcentral.
GACGAACGCUGGCGGCGUGCCUAAUACAUGCAAGUAGAACGCUGAAGGAGGAGCUUGCUCUUCUGGAUGAGUUGCGAACGGGUGAGUAACGCGUAGGUAACCUGCCUGGUAGCGGGGGAUAACUAUUGGAAACGAUAGCUAAUACCGCAUAACAGUAGAUGUUGCAUGACAUUUACUUAAAAGGUGCAAUUGCAUCACUACCAGAUGGACCUGCGUUGUAUUAGCUAGUUGGUGGGGUAACGGCUCACCAAGGCGACGAUACAUAGCCGACCUGAGAGGGUGAUCGGCCACACUGGGACUGAGACACGGCCCAGACUCCUACGGGAGGCAGCAGUAGGGAAUCUUCGGCAAUGGACGGAAGUCUGACCGAGCAACGCCGCGUGAGUGAAGAAGGUUUUCGGAUCGUAAAGCUCUGUUGUAAGAGAAGAACGAGUGUGAGAGUGGAAAGUUCGCACUGUGACGGUAUCUUACCAGAAAGGGACGGCUAACUACGUG